RNAcentral lists this ribosomal RNA (253 nucleotides) under uncultured bacterium. RNAcentral describes it as "partial 16S ribosomal RNA". It matches the Rfam family "Bacterial small subunit ribosomal RNA", at positions 524 to 776 of the family's 1533-position model. The record is from RNAcentral.
UACGAAGGAGGCUAGCGUUGUUCGGAAUUACUGGGCGUAAAGCGCGCGCAGGCGGUCCUUCAAGUCAGAGGUGAAAGCCCAGAGCUCAACUCUGGAAUGGCCUUUGAGACUAGAGGACUUGGGUACGGGAGAGGUGAGUGGAAUUCCGAGUGUAGAGGUGAAAUUCGUAGAUAUUCGGAAGAACACCAGUGGCGAAGGCGGCUCACUGGCCCGUUACCGACGCUCAGGCGCGACAGCGUGGGGAGCAAACAGG